This is a non-coding RNA of Mus caroli (Ryukyu mouse), 575 nucleotides long. Lineage: Eukaryota; Metazoa; Chordata; Mammalia; Rodentia; Muridae. The record is from RefSeq and is a predicted model, not a curated record.
GACUGGAAGUGCUCAGAACAAGAGCCCAGGCCUGGGUGCUGCUCUGAGAUAUGCAGGAGAAGCCUGAAGAAAGCCCUUCUGGAGUGGCAACCUGUCCCCUCUCUGGGAAAUACCUGAGCCUGAAGCCUGCAAGAGAUGGUGGGAGGACCCAUGACAUCUGCCAGCAGCCUGGAGACCUUGGUCCUGAGACCCAGGACAACUGUGUGGAGAACAGAUCUGGAAUGGAUCACUUGAUCUUGUGUAUGCUGGACAAAGGCUUCAGAUUCAACCAUUUCAAUUUGACAAACACCAUCACAUCUCACGACAUCGUCCUCCACAAAGAAAUCCUGUGUUCCAUCCUAACAAAUACCUGUGCUACACUGCACUGUUUCGCUUGCCUCCUGCCCUGCCUCCUUUGGUUUCUUCGACAGCCUUCCCUGGAGUCACUGCCUUCCACACAGUGCCUAAGAGCAAGCCCAUGAAACAUUCAUGGCCCCACGUGGUGGGAGAACCAAGUUCUACAAGUUGUCCACGAACUUCUACAUGGGCCAUGGUGCACCUGGUCACACAUUCAAUAAAUACGUAUAAUUCUAAAU